AGCUCCAGUAGCGUAUAUUAAAGUUGUUGCAGCUAAAAAGCUCGUAGUUGGAUCUCGGGUCGUUGGUAGGGGUUCAGGUUCAUGCCUGCUUACUCCUGUCAAUACCUAACUGGUGGGACGCUGUGGGUGCCCUUGAUUGGGUCGCCUACUGCACCCGCUCAAUUUACUUUGAAAAAAUUAGAGUGUUCAAGGCAGGCUCACACGCCUGUAUAAUGGUGCAUGGAAUAAUGGAAUAGGAUCUCGGUUCUAUUUUGUUGGUUUUCGGAACUAGAGAUAAUGAUUAAGAGGGACAGACGGGGGCAUUCGUAUUGCGGUGUUAGAGGUGAAAUUCUUGGAUCGCCGCAAGACGAACUACUGCGAAAGCAUUUGCCAAGAAUGUUUUCAUUAAUCAAGAACGAAA
Molecule: ribosomal RNA, 400 nt
Filed under: phytoplankton environmental sample
Lineage: Eukaryota
Description: partial small subunit ribosomal RNA
Rfam family: Eukaryotic small subunit ribosomal RNA
Source: RNAcentral